RNAcentral lists this ribosomal RNA (292 nucleotides) under uncultured bacterium. RNAcentral describes it as "partial 16S ribosomal RNA". The record is from RNAcentral.
GGACUACUAGGGUAUCUAAUCCCGUUUGCUCCCCUGGCUUUCGUGUCUCAGCGUCAGCACAGCCCCAGCUACCUGUUUUCACCAUUGGCGUUCCAAAUGAUAUCUACGCAUUUCACCGCUCCACCAUUUGUUCCGGUAGCCCCUAGCUGGCUCAAGACUGGCAGUAUACCAAGCAGUUCCACAGUUAAGCUGUGGGAUUUCACAAGGUACUUACCGAUCCGCCUACACACGCUUUAAGCCCAGUGAUUCCGCCUAACGCUCGAGACCUCUGUAUUACCGCGGCGGCUGGCAC